CUUCUCUCUUCUCUCCAACCCCCUCCCCCCACACCACCUGGGCCCAGCACCUGGGAUACCUUCUGGGCUCAGGGCCUCAAGCAGGCUCUUCCAGGACCCUGACCUGAGGCCUAACCCUGAGGCCGGCCCUGCCUGUGCUCCAGAGGUUGGAAUGGUGGUCUCCUCCCCGUCGCACCUCCAAGAGGCCAGGCCAGGAAGGGGCUGGGAAGAAGAGGACCACCGAACCUUGAGAAACAUGCCCAGCCUGGCUGCCGCCUCCCAGGAACAUCAGAGAAGAAAGAGAAGCUUUUCGAGGGUCCUGGAUGAAGAUGCGCCCAAAGCAUGUCCUCAAGGAUUUAACAUCCAAACCCCAGCCCAGAGGUUACUGUGAGAUUUUCACUUCUGCAGACAUCAGCAAGGCGCAAUGGAAAGAACGCAGACCAAUGAAAUCAUACUCCCUAAACAGGUCUAAGCAAUUCUACAGGCCACUACCUGUGGACCCUCUACUGGUCUGGCAAUUGAAGCAUCAAGCCUGUGUUCAUUUAAGAAGGUGCUGUCUGUACCCUCAGAAGGAAGUGUUGAGGUAUAACCCAGCCAAACGGAUUCCAAUCUGAGGCCAAGGUCAACUUAGAGACAACAGACUGUCUACUUCUUCAUGUGCAGUGAGGGCAAGGUCCCAACUGCAGUGGGGCCAGCCCAGGCAGUGACUAGAGAUACCAUCAGCUUGUCUCAGUAUCCUUUGUGUCUGAAGAACUAUCAGCAGGCAAUAGAGCCCUUCCAGUGGUCCCCACAGCCUUCCAAAUAAAGCCCAACCUUAAUGCAGCAUGGAAGCUUUCCAUGUGUUGUCCCUGCCCGCAGCUAUGAAUUCCUGGGCUGCGAUGCGCCCUCUGUGCCCCAUAUCCGACCUGGGCUGCCAGCCCACACCCAGCCACAGCAGGGGCUCCCUCUCCUGUGUCCUCCCCUAAGCCUACUCCCAUCUGGUGCCUACUCCUCAUUUUCAGCUUUGCAGACCCAGUUGAGAGGAGGGUGAAGCCAUCAGCCUAGAUCACCUGGCCAACAUUCUCUAAGGCAGCAGGGAAUGGUAAGCCCAGACCAGCAGCAGCAGCACUGGGAAUGCUUUAGAAAUGCAAAUUCUCAGGCCUCACCCUAGACCUCAUGAAUAGAAAACAAAUCCCAACACAGGCAAAAGCUGGAGAUCCACGGCCCCAGAGCAAAGGCGCCUCUGAGAAGUCCCUGAGCCCACCCUUCCCCACGAGGCUGGGCUGGCACAGCACCGGUGACUGUCCCUGCAUGUGCGCUCUGUGGGCACAGGCGCCUCCCUCAUCUCUGGCCCUCGGGGCCCUACAGAGCACCUGGAAGUCUGGUCCUACUGAACCAGUGAACAAACCAAUCUCCAGCAAUGACAAAACACCAGCUGGUCCAAUAGGAAAAAAGCAAAUGUUCUCAAGCCAUAAUACUGUAUUUGUAGCUAAACAUGUUUGAGCUUGAAUUUUUGAGUGUGAAAGAUUUUGUCUUAUUUCCAUUCGAUUUUGUCCAUUCGAUUUUGCCUUAUUUCCACUGAAAGGUUUCCUGGGACAGUGUCAAGCUCCUUUGCUGGAGUGAACGUUCUUGGAGAGGUGGCAUUCCCUCUCCAAGCUGUUAGAUGAAGCCAGCUAACUCUCCAAUAGGAAUUCCGACUGCUGGGUGCUUCCCGGGACCUGAAACUUCCAGCUUGCCGGCUUUUCCGAUUCUAAGGGUUAGCCCAGGGACACUGUCAUUGUCAUCAUUUAGUUCUCCCUGUGGCAAAUGAUUACAUAUCAGAAAGAGCAGAGGGGGGCUGCCCCUGAGAUGGCCCACAUCAAGGCACCAGCCAGCAUUCUAAGCACCAGAGGUUGCCCUGUGGCACUCUCCCCAAGCCCCUACUUGGUAAGAGAAAAGCUCCACUGAACCCUUCUGGACACAAAGGGUUUUUACACAGCAGCCCAGAGUUCUGCCUGACUGAGCUGAAUAUGAUGGUGAAAUCCUUUGGCAUGCUAGAAAAGAGAGGAACCAUCUACAAAGGAGCUGUCAGGAGGGCAUCUCUCAGAGCAAGAAACCAAGCUGGGCUCAGUGCUCCAGCCUGCCAAGCAGCCCCGGAGCGACCGCACAGCUGACGGUAGAUGCUCCAAGGUUCUCUAAUUACUCAACCCAUUUCCACCUGGAGGGGCUCCAGCGCUUGGCUGGGGCAGACAUCCCACAGCCUCAGCAUCCUGACCCACUGUGGCUAAACGAGCUGGGCGCAAGGCAGGCGCACACCCCAGACUGUCUUGGUUCAACGAGACCUCAGGAGCGCUGGUGCACACACAAGUCUUCCAGCCCAAGAUUACUCUGGUCCAUCUAGCACAGCAGUUCUCAAAGCGAGGUCUAGGGAUCCUGGCAGUCUCAGGGAACCUCGUAGGGGGUCAGUGAGACCAUAACUAUUUUCUUAGUCAUACUAAGACCUUAAUGACUUUUCUCUCUCUCUCUCCCAGCCACCUUCCAGCCAGAUGCUAAAUUUGUAAAAAUGUAAAAACAAUGCCACACUUCUCCCUAAUUUUUUUUUUUUUGGAAAAUAUAGUGAUUGUUAAUAAAAGUAUGUUCUGUUAUUUAUGGUAACAUGUAAUGAGCUGCUCGAUGUUAUUUUUAAAUGAAGUAAUAAAUAUGUAAACC
This 2646-nucleotide long non-coding RNA is filed under the name Homo sapiens (human). Its description in RNAcentral is "HSALNT0168507". Lineage: Eukaryota; Metazoa; Chordata; Mammalia; Primates; Hominidae. The record is from RNAcentral.